UAGCAAUAUAAGAUCUAUUACAAAUAAUCAUUCACUGCAUUUAUAACUGUGUUCACAUCCUGAACCGGGCAGUUUUUAACAUUUAUUUAGCUACACUACAUAACACAAUAUACUCAAAUCCAGAAUUAAAUCAAAGUCCUAAAAAAUAUUUGUAUAUCUACAGGGACUAGUCCAUUUACAGUAGCUUCAAUCACUUCUGAUAGAGUAUCUUUGGCUUUGAGUGUUUAUAAAUUUGACCAAUUAAUGACCAGAUCCAUGAACAUCUGCCCUAUCUGUUGCAAUAUGGCCUCUUUUCAUUAUGAAUUACCCCAAAGAAUCACUCAAAAACAAAACAUUACAGAUGUAUUGAUCCUUGAACUCAUGUUUAAUCAAACAAUGACCUCACAUUAAGAUGAAUGAUUAACUAAUAGCAAACCAAACGAGCUAAUGAGUCAACAUAGCUUACAUAUUUCAUUUAAAAUAAAACAACAGAAUAACAUACUCAUAAAGGGAAAAAUCAAAUGGAUCAGAUCUAGGCACACAAAUAUCCGAAAAUACAUAGAAAAGCUUCAAAUACAUUUAUUGACACUCAAACUUUGUUCAUAUACUUAAAUAAGUACUGCAGUUAUGUAGCACGUACCUGUAGUAGAAAAGAAGAACAAAAGGAAAAAUAUAUCUCUGAAACAAACUGGAAGGAGCAGCAGCAAGAAACCAGAUAGCAGCAGAACACUACCAGGAACAAAGGAAUAGCAGCAAAUGAAGCUAAAGAAAACCCAACCAGAAAGUUUUUUUACUUAAUGAUGAAGAUGUGAUUUCUGAAAAAUAUAGUCAAUUUCUGUGUAAAACAGUUUCUAAAAUGAAGAAAAGAGUGCCAAUUUUCAGAGUGUAUUUUCGUCUCCCUUGUGUGAGUGAUAUAUGGCUUCUUAUAUUGAGCGUAUGAGUGUGCUUUUGUGAGGGAAAAAUCAGAGGG
This 949-nucleotide long non-coding RNA is filed under the name Nicotiana tabacum (common tobacco). Its description in RNAcentral is "long non-coding RNA (NTAB_LNC011747)". The record is from RNAcentral. Lineage: Eukaryota; Viridiplantae; Streptophyta; Magnoliopsida; Solanales; Solanaceae.